RNAcentral lists this long non-coding RNA (19251 nucleotides) under Capsella rubella. Its description in RNAcentral is "long non-coding RNA (CRUB_LNC000917)". Lineage: Eukaryota; Viridiplantae; Streptophyta; Magnoliopsida; Brassicales; Brassicaceae. The record is from RNAcentral.
AAAAUCUCAAUAACUCAAAAGAAAUAUGAAUUACAAUUCUCAGGAUCGUUUGGUGGCUACAACAAAAACCUAAAAAUAAAACUCAAUCCCUUGGGCAAUCCAAAUGAAGCCUAUUUAUAACAAUGUUUGGGAAAACCUUAAAACAUAAAACGACAACGUAAAAGCGGUUCAAAGGUUGUUUUGACUAAGUUGGUCGAGUGAGCAUCUCGAGUGACCAUCUUCUCUGCUUUGCUCGAUCGUGUCACUCGAGUGAGUGUGUCGAGUGACCUGUAAAACCAUCAGCUACUUCUUUGCUUUGCUCGAUCAUGUCACUCGAGUGAGUGCAUCGAGUGACAGGUAGUUCUGCUUCGCUUCCCUUCUGCUCGAUCUGCCACUCGAUCGUAUACGUCUGCUGCUCACUCGAACGUCAAUGUAACUGCAACGCAUCCUUGCUCCUCACUCGAUCGUCCCACUCGAUCGUUUGCAUGUCGAGUAACGCUUGUUCCUCUACUUCGCUCUGCAUGUCUCCUAAGUACCUGAAACACUCCAAAUAUGCACAAUGUAUGCAAGAUAUGCAUGAUAUGCAUAAAACCUACCUAAGUAUGUAAAACAUGCAGAAAGGGAUCAAUAUGAUGCGAAUCAACAAGUGAAUGAUGCUGAAAAGAUGAUGAAUGCAUGCUAGAAAAGCGAUGAAAUACAGACUUAUCAUGAAACCUACGAUAUUGUUCGAUAUUAGAAUAAUUUAAUAACUAAUCGUAGCUUCAAACACUUUGUUUUAAAUGAUUAUAUUUCAACUAUAAUGUACUUCAUUUUAUUCUUAAGUGUCAAGAAAGAUACAUGUACCAUAGAAGAGCAUCAUAAUGAACGAGAGACCACAUCCCAAAGGAUAUUGAAUGUGGAUCAAUCGGAGAAAUAGCAAAGUACAUACAUCCAAAUCAAGAGCCUAAGAUGUGUUUACCAGCUGCUAAAGAUGAUGAAGUUAGCACCAAAAAAAUUCUAUUAGAAGAAGAACCACCUGACCAGUCAUCAAAUCAAUCAACCUUGUUGAUUUUGAAAGAUACACUCACCGAAGAACCAUGUCAAGUAAAUAACCCAUUAUUUUGAUCUAUUUCUAAUAAUUUGAAUGAUGUGAUUAUAAACUUGUUAAACUUUAAAGAGUAUGACAAAAAUGUCGGUCAUUUAAAUAAACCAAUGGAAUUAGUUUCUUGUUUUAAAUCAUAUCGAUUAGUUGAUACACUUUGUGACAUACUUAUUGAUACACUUUAUGAAAAAGAAAUGGUUCAGCCCAUCAUUGUUUACAUGUUUAUAUUGGUCCCAUGACUUUAUUAAUGCACUUGUUCUUUGCCAAAAGUGUCAACAACAUUGCAGGUACAAAUAAGGAUCAUAAAGGCGAUUCACCGAAGAUGAAGAAACGCUUGAAUCAAAAUCAGACCCGGAGUAAACCAGCGCCAUUGGUCAUCACACCAUCCCUAAUGGAGACUAUGAGAGUCCCAAGUUCUUUCUUAAAUAAAGAGGAACCGCUGGAAUUCAAAGCUCAAGCAAAACCCCGAGAAGAAGCUAACCACGUUACACCAUCAACCGUUGUACUAGAUCAAAACGAAGGAGUGAUCUAAUAUUUCUUGCUCAAAGGAGAGCCACCUGAUGCACCAUGCAUCAUAAAGCCACAAAAAUACCAAGGUAAGACAUUGAACUCUCAAAAUCGUAUGAAAGCUAACUUGCUUUCUCUUGGUGCAGAUUGUACAGUUUCGAGGUUGAAACUUUUUCAAGGGAGAGGGUAUGAUGCGGACAUCAAAACUAUAUCAGACUGGGAGCACACCAAACUGGUCUACAUGGACAAUUUGGAGAAUCUUUGUCUAAAUGGAGUUCUGAUCAAGUAAAAGGCGAAGGGUUAAUCAUUCACCAUGAUAUUAACCUUAAGAAGUCUGAUAGUUCAAGAGGGAUAAAAAAUCAGCAAGUCAAAUCACCUUAUCAUUGGUAGAUGACUGUUGCACUCUUUUUCCCUUAUCUAGGGUUUUUCCCAAUGGGUUUACCUAGAAAGGUUUUUAAUGAGGCAACAUCAAGUCAUCAAGGAAUCAUUCACCAUCCAUAUGAUUCAAAGAUGAUAGCUGAUGUACAUUCUGAUAUACUCUCUGAUGAACAUGCUGAACUACUCGUUGACCGACUGGUUGAACUACACCAGAUUGUGAGCUGUGAGAAUUUGAAAUCUUUUAACACUUGGAUCAAACAUGAAGGGAGCCCACACAGUCAUUUGAUUCACUACAAGACCCCAGCCCAUGUAGAACAUCCCAAGAGAAGAACCAAGUCCAAAGAGUUGUCCCACACGAUCUUUGGUACACCUUACCACACAAGAAGCCGAUGAGUCACGACUUACCAUACAUGGAGCAAAAAGAGAUCAAGCUGCAAAGACUCCUUCCUUAUUCACUUAUGCACGUAUUGAAGCUUCCUACAAUGAACCUAGACACCCCAAGGAGUCAUGGAUUCGCACCCAAGCUUUCAAGACUCAAGGCAUCUCUCUACUUGCCUUAUUUUGCCGAUUUGGUUCAUAAAGUCCCAACGGCAAGUGUAAUUAAUUUUGUGUGAUUUGUUUCUUGUUUUACAUUCUUAGCACGUGUAGCUGAGCCUAUAUAAGCUCAUUAGCUUGUUCAUUUGUAAUUUCCCUUGAUCAAUUUAUAGUAAUAGAAAGUAUUCUUCUUGUCAAAGUUUGAGUCUUUGUCAAUCUUCUUCUUUAGUUCUUUGUGAGUGAGUCACUUAGUUCUUUAGAAACCUGCAGAUUAAGUUUGUUGUGUGAUUCAACAUCCUUCAUUCAUCGAUUGAUCUAGUGAGUCGAUUAUCCCACCGAUUGAGCGAGCCAAUCACAUGAACUAUCCCCUGUACCACCACUUGAUUCCCGAGAGAAUGCGUUAGAGCCAGCUCGUGAAUUCCAUCUUCCGCAAGCUAAGCUUAGAAUCUCUUGAUCAUCAAGUGAUCUAAAGUUGGAGUGACUCCAAUCUUGUAUCAUGGUGUGAACCGAUCGGUCUGGCACUUUCAAGUUUCAAAUCUGCAUCUGCUUCAACUACUCGUUAAAACGAGAUGUAUUCACGAAAUCGGGUGCAACUCUUGAAUGCACCGUUAGAUUUCCUUGAAAUAACUUUAAAAUGAAAUCUAACAUCUGUUUCCAUGUUGUUGCAAAAUAUGAGAAAGAUCUAACGGGGUAAAGUUGUCCAUAUGAUCCCAAACAUCUUACACUUAUACAUGAAUCUACAUCUUCAAAUGUGUGUUUGUAUCGCAAAACGGCCCGUUUUAUUCCAAAGCAACCUAAAACCUGUUAUGACUCUAUAAUGGAAUAAAAGACUCUAAAACACACUUUGACUCAAUAAAAGUUAUAAAAUAAAAGAGAAAAUAAAGAUUUAAAACCCAUAAAAACACAAUAUAUCAGCAAGCUGUGAAGUAAACCAAUGUAGCCACUUCUUUUAACCAUACAAAGAUUCGAGCUAUUCAUGAAGCCAAUCCCGAGUUUGUAUGGGUAUUCUUAGUCGUUCAACAUACACGGAUAGAGUAGUGUAUAUUUGAAAGGAAAGAAGCUCCAACGUUUAUGUAUGAAGACAAUAUUGCAUGCAUCACACAACUGAAGGAAUGAUAUAUUAAAGGUGAUAGAACGAAACACAUCUUACCAAAGUUCUUUUUCACACAUGAACUUUAAGGGAAUGGAGAUGUUAAUGUUCACUUAUUCACCAAGGCUACUUUCAAGAAAUUAGUUCAUCUUCUUUGAUUAUGUCGUCUCAAGCAUCUUGAUUGGAUGCACUCAUUAGGGGGAGUAAAUACGAUGCACUCUUUAUCCCUUAAACAUGAUUUCUUCGACUAGGUUUUCCUAGUUAAAUUUUUAACGAGGCAACAUCUUACGCGCAUUUACAACUAUUCAAUUAUAAUGGACAUCCAAGGGGAAGUAUUAUGUAUGAUUUAGUGGAUGCCCAUUAACCUAAUUUCUAGAAUGUUCUAGACUUACUUAUUCCUUAAGUUUUAAUUGUUUACCAAAUUGUAUUCCUAUAUAUACUAUCUCUUAUUAAUGGAAUGUGAAGACAAUUUUCCCCUAAAUAUCUUUUUAUAUAACUAUCGUAAAUGUUUUCCUUAAUAGACGGCCUAGAAUCCAUUCAAGCAUCCACCUAGUUGACGUAAUGUCUGCUUGAACGCUUUUAGGAGUCCAGAUUAUAUAAAACCACCUAAACUACCGCUUAGCUCACAUUUGGGAUGCUUGGUCGCUAUAUGCGUAUAGAAUCUGCCUAAGCCCCCGUGUAGGUCGCAUUUUAGAGCAUUAAUUUUCUGUAUGUUUAGUGUCUCAUCAAGAACUUAAAACAAUAAAAACAAAAAAAACAACAUAUUGUACUAAUAUGUCGUACUAUUUGCUCAGAUUUGGGAGAAAAAAAAACUCAACUAAAUUCGCCAAGUUCAUGUUCUAUUAGAAUCGCCAAAUUCAUACAGCGAAGAAGUAAGAAAAUGUGAAACAACUUGCAAAUUUCAGAAAAAAAAGAGAAUAGCCAUGGUUGUCGUGGAUAAAACUUGCUUGCCAAGACUCCUCCUGCAAUCAAACCCCAUAAUAUAUAUUUAUAUCCUGAAGAAUCAAAACAUAUGACGUUAACACUUAAUAGUGUGAUCCUUUAUAAAAACCAGAAAGACUAUAUAAACUGACCUCCCCCAUUUGUAGAAGUAAAAGCCUCUUAGAAUUUCCAACGCCACAUUAAGAUGAUUCUUGUGGAGAUUCUUAUACCCAUUUGCAUAGAACACAUAAGUUUAUGAGUCUUCCGACAACGAAGCAAACAACGAAUAUGAACGGUGAAACUCAACCUCAAAGUCAUGUUUCAAAUUAUCAUACUCAACCAAUUAGCUCUAACCCAUAUAGUAAUGGUCACGGAAGAAGACUUUUGGCGGAUUUCAUUUGGCACCUAAAUAGAUUAGGUUUGUUGGGAUUUCUUGGCCUUUUCCCCAAAAUUUUGGUUUAUUCAAUUCGCUUUGAUUGGUUACACUAAAUCUAGGUCUGGUUUGAUUUCAAUUUUUAAUGGCAUUUUAAGAUCUUUUAAGAAAAUUUCUUCUGUUUAACAGUGUUUCAAUAUGGUUUCUUGUUAAUGUUGGAAUAAGUAUGGACACAAUCAAAUCUUUAAUAAGAAAUUGUGAUUUUUUAUAUUAAUCUUCCAUAGAACUACAACUUAAUAUUCAAAACUGUUAACUAGGAGAGAGCUAAAAGUAAUGAAUUACAUGAAAUUAAAACUCAUAGACUAAAAACUACCAAGGAAAUAAAAUUCGAUACUACUACUGUAACGACCGGACAAUCAACUUUUUCAGUGGACCCCAUGUUCAUUCUUAACCCAUGGGUUCACCUCUCGUAAUGUGCCUCAUGUCCUUUCACUAGGCCUGUGAGCCCACCAAUAUCCGACGGCCGGUUUGCUAAAUAUGGGAAGCAUAAAGACUUGUUUACGGAUCCUACAAAUCACCACAUGAUCUUUUCCUGUGUUUUGGCCUAACUCACACAAUUCUGACAAUCACUUCCCAGAAGGUCAUCCAUCCUUUGACUACUCCAGCAUAAGCACGCUUAACUGUAGAGUUCUCUCAGGACCCUUGACUGAAAAGAUAAGUGCACUUUGUUGACAUAGGUGGCCAAAUCAAUUCAUUCUCCGCAAACCGGGUUCUCACAAUUCAACCCUACUAAUAGGCUACAACGUCCUCGUUGAGAACCAAUACCGUCACCCCCUGACAGUGUGAGCCCACUACUCCACACUUGUAACGUCCCCUGACUGUCAACUUUUCCAGUGGACCCCAUGUUCACUCACAGCCCAUAGGCUCACCUAGGCCUCAGUCCUCUCGUUAAUUAGGCCCGUGAAUCCAUCGAUAUCUAACGGCCGGUUUGCUACGUCUAGGAAGCCUGAAAACUUGUUUACCAACCAUACAAAUCACCACAUGAUCUUUUCAUGUGUUUUGCCUCAGUCACACAGUUCCGACAAACACUUCCUCGAAGGUCACCCAUCUUUUGACUACUCCAGCAUAAGCACGUUAACUAUGGAGUUCUCUCAGGACCCUUGACCGAAAAGAGAAGUGCACUUUGUUGACAUAUGUGACCAAAUCAAUUCAUUUAAGCCUCUCCGCAAACCGGGGUCUCAUAGCUACAUAACAUUUUUUGAAAUGAAUCUUGUUCUUGUUAUUGGUCCACAAUUUGGUCUCUAAAAGUGAGCUUUUCUUGUUUCUUCAUGUUGCAAUCUCUUCCACCUUUGAGUUAAUGAAAAAUUUGGUAAACUUCGUGGUUAAAUCCCUAAAAUGGAGUUUUCAGUCCUCAAAAUUUAGAAAAUAGAGGCAAAAUUUGUCAAAUAUAUUAUAGUGUCAUCUACGAAAGAGUCACGAUAUUAAGCAAAGACAGAUUUUUUUAUCAAGAAAUUAGAUUUCUCCAUUAUGUCUUAUCAAUCUUUCCAUCCUGAUUGCACUGUGUUGAAUUCAUACAUCGAACUAUCCAUUGUGCCUAAAAAUACAUAACUUUAAAAUAAUAUGACUUCCAAACCUAAACUUCAAAUUUUGUGCCUUAACAUACCAAAACAUGUUUUUUAACUCUGUUAACCUCCCAUUUAGUAAAUAUGACGUGGAAGCCACGUCUGCAUAGGAGAUAAAAAUGAUGUAAUUUUAUUCAUGUGAAGUUCUGACAACCUUUCUCUAACCACUCGCCAUAUAUAAUUAUUGUAAUUUAGUAAAUAAACAUUUAUUAUAUCUUCUCUAGUCACUCUUCUUCUUUUCCCCAACCAUCAUUCCUCAUCUCAUCUCAAAAAAAAAAAUAUAUAUAUAUAUGAUGUCUGAGGGAAUUUAACACUCAGUUAUUCAUUAGCUUUGACUUGAAAACUCAAAUUGCUUUUAAAUUAGAGUUGAAAGUAUACAAGAUUUGUGAAUACACCCAGAUACAAAUCGAUUGGAGAACAAUUCGAUUAUAAGUGGAUCUCGCCAAACCUAGCUUCACAAAGAUUACAACAGAACACAUAAACAUAUAAGGGUUUAUCAAAUCAUUGAAAAUAGUGUAAAAGAAGAGAGGAAGAUGCUGUAUUUAAGAAUUUGAGGUUUACAUAUUUCGGUGAUGGUUGGGAAGAAGAAGUGGCUAAAAAAUAUAUAAUAAAUGUUUGUUUACUAAAUUACAAUAAUUACACAUGGUCGAGUGGUUAGAGACGGGUUGUUGGGGUUUUAGACUUUGUGGGUUCACGCCUAGCUUGCGGCAAUAGUUUCUAGUUAUAUUCAAACAACGUCGUUUUGAUAUUAUCUACAUACAUGACUUCCACGUCAUAUUGGCUAAACGGAAGGUUAACAGAGUUAAGCACUAAAAUGGUUUUGGUAUGUUUAGGCACAAAAAUUGGAGUUUAUGUUUGGACUUCAAAUUAUUUUAAAAUUAAUGUAUUUUUAGGCACAAUAAAUACUUCGAUGUAUGAAUUCAACACAUUGCAAUUUUGCAGCUAUGAAAAACUGUUUUUCCCAUAUCUACAUCCUCAAAUGACUGUUCAAGAAAAUAAAAUGACUCAAAAUUCUUCAAGAGUGUUUAUUCUCAUAGAAAUCAAAGCCGUAAUAAACAAGAAGUAAAGCUUAUCAAGUGUCAUCUCUAUUGUAUCAUUAGUCAUCAUCAUUUUAGAUUCACAAAGGAAAGCAUUCAAUAUUUGUUUCACCUGCCAAAAUGGCAAACACGAAUAUGACUUUCUAUAAAUAUAAAAGGGGAAAUAAAAAAUAAAGGAUAAAUAUUUAAACAUUUGUCCAUCUAUGCAUUCUAUGGAUAUAUGUUAAUUAUUCCUAACUUAUCCUUUACAUUAGAUUUAAACAAAAAUUUUCAAAUAAAAUUGACUACAAUGCAUAGAAAAAUGAUGAAGAAUAGAUGCAGAAGAGGAGGACAAUCGUUCCACAAAAAACUCUCUCUUCUCUCUCUUCAAAAGUUUUCUUUUUUCCAGAUCUCUUCUAAAGGCCUUUGAGCUUCUCUCGAUUUGCUGUGGGGAUGAAGAGGUGAAUUAGUGUUCCUCCCUCUGUCGACAAGGGCGUGGUUCCUCCUCCGUUGAUGUGAUUGUGAAGCCAGGAUGACAGAAGGAGAGCGUUGCUGCAGAUCUGGUCGGUUUGAAGACGCCGGUUAGGAGCAGUGGUCGCUUUCGUGGCUCAUCUGUCAGAUCGGCUUAGCACUCACGGCGGAAGUCGGCGGAGGAGAUGGUGGGUUGUUGAAGCGCUUUGGCGGUUAACGGUAGAUCCGUCUGGAUCUUGAAGGCCGUCACGGAUUUCGGGCGUUUGGGUCUCCGAUUGAGUCAUCGGUCCUUCUCGUCACUGUGACUUGCUUCCGCCAGGCCGGAGUGGAGAGAUUUGAUUCGGCAAACUGGAAGAACCCCAGAUCUGGGAAAAAGAGGUUAUGUCUGAAGCUGGAGCUUGCUAGGAACGGGAGCUACCAUCAACGUGCCGAGACGUCGGAAAGUUGUUCAUACCGGGAGACUUGUGGCGGGCUGGUUGGUCGAGGGAAAAGGAACGGUGGUCGUGAGUCGGAUGCUUCCUCCCCGUUCACUAGAUACUUCGAUUUGCUGCAAAGUUGUGGUUCUCGCAUCCGCCGGAAAUGAUGAUCGGACCUUCUGCAACUCGGUAUCAAUAGGACACGAUUCUUUUUUCCGGUGACGGUUACUAUUCCAGUGGGCCUAAAGCCUCUGUUCCCCUUGUAUUAUCGUGCAUCAGCCCAUUAAGGGGCCCAUUAAUAAAAGAAGGCCCGUUUGAUUUUUUUUUUAAAAAAAAAAAAAAAAAAUGAUGAAGAAUACUUGAUGACACUUAUAACGACAAAAUAUGUUUUUAUUGCUUUUUUGGAUAGAUAAAAUUUAAUCUAUGAAUUUUAGAAUACACCUUCUAUAAUUAGAAUGUGUAUUCUAUACACUCUACAUAUUCUAUAAAAUUUAGAUUAUGUAUUCUACGCAUUCUUCAUGUUCUAAAAAAAUUAGAAGUAACUUUUUUUUCUACGGUAUUUAGAAUUCCAAUUAUUAAAAAAUUUAGAAUACAUAUUCUAUACUUUCCUCUUUAUUUUACAAAAAAAUAUAAUACAUAUUCUAACGUUUACUCUUGCUCUAUAAAUUUCAGAAAACAGAUUCAUGUGGAUUUCUUAAGAAAAUGAGAAUUUUUGAGAAAUACCCCUUUUGGUGUACCCCUUUUUAAAAAUACCCCUCUUUUCUAUCUAUUUUUAAAAAUACCCCUAUUCAAAUAUGGAAAAUUAUAAACUUUUAUAUGGUUGAUAAAGUACAUCAAGAUCAUUUUUACUUCUGCGAGACUAAAUCCAAAUAUUUGUAAGGUUGUAAAAGGUUCUAAACGGCAUUUAUAAGGUUUUUAUAAGGGUUUUAAAAGGUUUACAAAGUUUUUAUAAGGUUUUUAAAUGAUUUUUAAAAGUUUUUUAAAAGGUAUUUAAACGGUAUUUAUGAUAUAUAUAUAUAUAUAUAUAUUUACACACAUAUAAAGAUAAUUUGUGUCUAUAAAUAUAAGGUUAAACAUAUUUUUUUUAUAAAUUUCAAAUUUUAUAGUGACUUUUUGAUAAAAUUAGAAAGAGUGGUAUUUUUAAAAAGUGAUAUUGGAAAAGGGGGUAUUUUUGAAAUUCCCCAAAAAAAAAUCAGAAACGUAAACACAAACUGAAUAUUAAUAUGUUUUUGCAAUUAUUUUAAUUCCUUAAGAUGUUUUAUCUCAACGAAAAAACAUUUAAAUUUUAUAAUUAUGAGGGCAGUGCCACCCCAAAAAUUUUAAAUAAAUCUUUUCAAAAUUAUUCUUUUAUAAAUUUUAAUAAUUUAGAAGCUUAGUAAUCAUGAAUUUGUUUUUGAGGUUUUUAACUUAUGAACUUACGUUUUAAUAAUUUAGGCCAGUGAAGCUAUGACAGUGCAUCUCGAAGAGCUCACACCAUAUGUCAUAAUUCACCUGAUUCAUAUCCAAAAUAAUGGGAAUAUGAGCCUUGAUCUGAGUGAGAGUGAGAGAGCGAUCAGUUGCAGGAGCCGCCAUUGUUAGACAAGUGAGGAGAGAAAUGUGAAGAAGAAGAAGAAGGAGAGAAGAGAUAUAAAAUAGAGGAUGAGAAAACGUGGACGGAGAGAUAAAAAUAAUAUGAAAACAAAGGAAUACGAGAGAUAGAGAAUAAAAGAAGAAUAAAAUAUAAUAAUGAGAGAAAGUGAGAAGAAGAACGUGGGAUUAGAGACAAAGAACGAGAGAAGAAGAAAAAAAAAUUAAUUACGUUGUUUAAUUAUUAACUACGUUGUUACUUGUUAUUAACUACGUUCUCCACAGAACGUGGGAUUAGGUCUUAAUUAUUAACUACGUUGUUUAAGACAAACAUUUAUCACUUAGUUUAAGGUAAUUUUCCAUUUAGAAUCCUAUGAUUGCAUUUGGUACUGAUUUAGGUACAAAAGUAGGCAAAAGGAAGCUUUGGAUUGACAAAACAUUUUAGUUGUAUCAUAUUAUAUUUUGAAGAUUAGCUAGAGGAUUCAUGGAAAUUAGAUUGAAAAGCAUACAAAAUUAAGUAAUUUUGGUUUUUUUAAAAGUGGAUUUGGAUUUACGAUUAGGAAAUUAUGAAGAUUUAAUGAAAAAUUUGGUGUCUUGUUUUGAUUUUUCUUUGAAAUAGACUUAUUUACAAUGCUAAUGUUUUUGUUCUCCGUCAGCGCCAAAAUUUGAUAAAGAUUAAGUUUUAAAUCUCUAAUCACUCAUGCCACAAGUGUAUGUUAAUUGUAAUUAAGAGUAUAGGAUCGCAAAGAAGAAAGAACUAACACACAAAGAAUACAAUUGUUGGGAUUUAGAUCACUAAACAAGAUUAAUCCACUUCCAUGAUACCAAUCACUUUUCUACUCAUAUAAUCUCAAAAAAGCUCAAAGACAAUCAAAUGAUUAAAAAGCACAAUAACAAGUGUAAAGAGCAACUAGUCAACAAUUUUCACUGAUAAAUAAUAAAAAUCGUCUAAUAAUUUGGUUCAGCAUUUCCUCAAACAUCUUCCGCGAGAGAUUUCAUAUUGUCUUAGUCAACAUGAUCACAGUUGAUCUAGCCCUAAGAACACAUACUAUGAAAAGAUCUUGAACAAACUAAACCGGAGCUCAACAAAUCAAUCUUUAAUUAGACCAAAAUCUAAAAUCUCCAAAAACUUUUGAAAGACUACUCACUUAUGAUCAUGAUAAUACAAGCAAUUGAUUAUAUCAUUCUAUGAUCAUAACUAGAGGAAGUAAUUAAGGGAAUCUACAAGAAAAAGAAAAAUCAAAACUUCAAAGAUAAAUGUUUAGUAGGAAACCUUACAAGCUAAAAGAAAAUCUAACAAGGCAUAAGUUUUCUCUAGUUAGGUUAAUAGUAUUUCUAGGAAAACAAAAUAAAUCGGGAAAACCUGGGACAUACCCUGGUGAACACUCGUUUACGAUGAAUUAGUCAAUGGCAAGGUCGCUGGUUCGUUCGGCUGUCUCCGAAGCUAACAAUUGACCUUCGAGGAAGGUUUCGUUGGAUGGAGAGAAACCUUCGUACAAAUGAAGGAUUUCUUGAGGGAAGAUGGAUGGGUCGAAUCGACAUCCCGAGGGUUAUGGACGAUCCCUCGGUAGGCUGACUUUAAGAUUAAGAAAACCCGGUUCGAGAGUCCCCAAGGUUUUUCGAUUCUCUAAGCUUCACACUUAAAGAGAAACAAAGAAAGAAGCAAAGAAAAGAAACAUUUUCAAUAAUUCAUUCAAGCAUGUCGAUCCCAAUAAAUAAUCAUGCCUUUAAAUAGGCAAGAGACAAAGAAAUGGAGCCUAAAGUAACCCUAGAGAUGUGUGUUCUUAAGCUCCACACAAAAGGAGAAAGAAAGAGAGCAUUUUCUAACGGCUUUCUCGGUGAAAAGUAAAGUUUUCGAGAAAUUAUCAAUAGCGAAGGUAAAAGAUCAAUAAAGAAAGCUUUAUUGGUGAAGGAUUCCAUCUUCCGAGAGAAUCUUCACUUCCUCGGCUCUGAAGCUUGUCUUCAAACGCUUCCAAGCCAUGAACCAAGUGGGAACAAAGUAAAGAUCACUAGAGCUCGCUGCCUCACUAAAAUUCCUUCGGUAAUCCCAUUUGGGACAAACCCAAAGUGGAAAAAGAGUACAGCUUCUUCUAAUGACUUAGGUAUUAGAGCAAUAGGGUUUGAUACCCUUUCCAUUGAUCACACGAAUAUAUAUAUAUGUACAUGAGAGAAGGGGAUGUAAAGAGUCCACACUAAACGUAUAAAGAUAUUUGUAUAUAUCCUAUCUAAUACUCCCCCGCAGACGGAGCGGAGGUUCACGAACGUUCAGGCUGGAGCGAAAUUCAGUGAACAAUGGAGAUGGAAGACCUUUGGUGAAGAUAUCGGCAUAUUGCAAGGCAGACGGAACAUGAAGAACGCGGACCUGACCAAGUGAAACACGUUCUCGGACAAAGUGGAGGUCGAUCUCGACAUGCUUUGUACGUUGAUGUUGGACCGGAUUGGAAGAGAGAUAGACCGCCGAAAUGUUAUCACAAUAAACAAGUGUAGCCUUGGUGAGGGGGCAACCCAAUUCUAAGAAAAGAUUACAAAGCCAAGAGGUUUCAGCCACGGCAUUGGCGACACCACGGUACUCAGCCUCGGCGCUGGAUCGAGAAACCGUAUGUUGGCGUUUCGAGGACCAAGAGAUGAGGCUAUCGCCGAGGAACACACAAUAACCGGACGUCGAGCGUCGUGUGGAGGGACAACCAGCCCAGUCGGCAUCCGUAUAGGCCACGAGAUCCGUAGUAGAGGAUUUAUAAAGUUGUAGCCCAUGAGAGAUCGUACCUUUAACAUAGUGAAGAAUCCGCUUAAGAGCAUUGAGGUGGUUUUGCCUAGGAUCAUGCAUGUAUAAGCAGACUUGCUGAACGGAAAACGCAAUGUCAGGACGAGUAAACGUUAGAUACUGAAGCGCACCAGCAAGGCUACGGUAGAGGGACGGAUCAUCAACCGGCGGGCUAGCAUCAGCCUCAAGCUUUGCAUUGGUGUCAACCGGAGUGAGAGUUGGAUUGCAAUCAGUCAUAGAGGCGCGAUGAAGAAUGUCAGCGGCAUAGUUGUGUUGGCUUAGAAAUAGGCCGCCAUCAUUAUAUUUAACAGCAAUGCCAAGGAAAUGGUGAAGAACGCCAAGAUCCGUGAGCUCGAGGUCGUUACUGAGGGCCGUUAUGAGUUGACGCUGAAGUUGAGGUGUUGAGGAGGUAAGAACAAUAUCAUCAACGUAAAGAAGAAGAUAAGCCAUUGUAGAGCCUUGUCGAUACACAAACAACGACGGAUCCGCACGACUUUGAACAAAACCAAUUAGUUUUGCAAUCGUAGCAAAACGAGUGUACCAAGCACGUGGUGCUUGCUUGAGGCCGUAGAGAGAGCGGCAGAGCAAGCAUACAUAAUCUGAUUUGGAUUUGUCAACAAAGCCCGGAGGUUGAUGCAUGUAGACCGUUUCUUUAAGAUUGCCGUGUAAGAAUGCGUUUUUCACGUCAAGUUGGCAAGAGGCUAAUCACGAGCGAGAGCGAGAUGUAAAACAGCACGGAUCGUGGCCGGUUUGACAACGGGGCUGAAUGUCUCGUCACAAUCAAUGCCGGGUUGUUGAGAUUUGCCAUUAGCUACCAGGCGCGCCUUGUACCGAGAGAGCUUCCCAUCUGCAUCAAACUUAUGACGAAAAAGCCACAUAGAACGCACAAUGUUAGUCGCCGGAGGCCGCGGGACCAAGUCCCACGUUCUGCGUUUAAUAAGAGCAUUAUAUUCCUCCCCCAUAGCAUUAAGCCAGUAAGGGUCCUUUGCUGCCAUCACAUGAGAAAAAGGAAGAGGAGAAAUGGAGUCUGUAUGAAUACACAUAGGAGUACGGGGUUUGGUGAUCCCGUUUUUACUACGAGUCGUCAUAGGAUGAGUAUUUAUAGGUGUUGGGGCAGCAUUUGGAACUGGUGGUGUAGGAAUGGUGGUCGGAGAAGAGACCAGCGAGGAAGGUAAGAGAGGCGGAGGAAGAGGUUCAAGAGAAACUGGUGGACAUGGUGAUGAGGGUUGUGUGGCAAAUGGGAACACAUACUCAAUAAACGUCACAUGCCGGGAAAUGAUUAUUUUUCGAGUGGAAAGUUCGAGACACCGGUAGCCUCUAUGAUUGGAUGGGUAGCCUAGAAAAACACAAGUUGUAGAACGCGGAGCUAACUUAUGAGAAGAUGUAGAGAUAGUGUUAGGAUAGCAUAAACACCCAAAAACACGAAGAUGAGAGUAAGUAACAGGAUGUUGAAAAAGACGAGUAAAAGGAAUAAGAUUAUUAAUAGAAGAGGAAGGAAGAAUGUUAAGAGUAUGAACCGCUGUGUUUAAGGCUUCUACCCAAAAAGAGUAAGGCAUAUGGGCUUGAAGAAGAAGAGUGCGCACUAGAUUGUUAAUGGUGCGGAGCAUUCUCUCAGAGCGCCCAUUUUGUUGAGAGGUAUGUGGACAAGAGAGGCGGAUUUCUGUGCCGGUGGAAGCGAGAUGAUCAAGGAAGGCACGACUGGUGUAUUCGCCUCCAUUGUCACAUUGAAGAGCCCGAAUUGUUUUAUUAAAUUGAGUUCGAACAUAAGCUGAAAAAUGAAGAUAUUUGCUAAAGGUAUCACUUUUCUUGUGGAGAGGAUAAACCCAAAUAAAAUGUGAAAAAUGAUCCAUAAAUAAUAAAUAGUACUUGAAACCACUAUGACUGAGAACCAGAGAGGUCCAAAUGUCAGAGUGAAUUAUUUGAAAAGGUUCCGUAACAAUAGAGGAAGAAGAGAAGAAAGGAAGAUGAACGUGUUUGCCCAACCGACACGCAUGACACAAAGACGUCAUGUCAGCCUUAUUAUGAUACGAACUACCCAGAGAAUUUAAAGUGCGUUGAAUGGAGCUACCCGGAUGACCCAGACGACGAUGCCAAAGAGAGCUACCCGAGAAAAGAGCAAGCGGAAGAGAUGAGGAAGGAGAAGGGGUCACCGAGUACAAAGGGCCCGAACUGUCACAUCGGAGUAUUGGUUUCCUGGUUUGAAGAUCCUUAAUAGAAAAACCAAUGGGGUCAAAUUCAAUAGAACAAAGGUUAUCAGUGACAAAUUGACGGACAGAGACAAGAUUUUUAAUGAUAUUAGGGCAAACAAGAACAUUUUUAAGAUGAAGGGGACGAGAAGAAGAGGAUAGAGUACCAUGACCAAGUUUGGUGACAGGAACAGAGGAACCAUUACCAACUAACACAGAGGGAGUUAUGCUCGUAUUAAAAACAGAAUUGAGGGUACCUUGUUGAGAAGUAAUGUGAUUAGUGGCCGCACUGUCCAUAUACCACGACGCGUUGGCUGGUUCUUGUAAGGACAUGGUGUUGAACGCAUGAGCGAGUGCAGACGGUAGGACUGUGGGUUGAACAGCGUUUUCGUGCUGCACCAUGUGAGCUUCAUGUGGAUGUCGCGGAGUGUAGGGACCAAGAAUGCUGUUUUGACGAGGCGUUGGAGCAUGAGCAGUGUGAGCUGGUGGUGAUGGAAUCAUGGGAAAUCCACCAUGGUAAUAUGGAUAUGGCCAUUGAGGUGGGACGAAAGGCCACGACGGAUAGCCAUAACUGUUGGUGUUGGAGAUGCCAGCAUGAUGACCAGAAUUGUGGAAGCGACCUCGUCCGCGAUUUCCUCUUCCACCACCACGACCACGAUACUUGUUGUUGCCUCUGUAGUUGUUGUUGUUGUUGUUGUUGUAGGUUUGCGUGGAUGGAGCAGAGGGUGAUGAAUCGCCCGCAUAGAGAACCGUAGGAGAAGAAGCAGAGGAGGUGUGAGUGAUGGUCGUGCGUUGGUGCUGCUUGAGUCGAUCCUCUUCGGCUUGAAGCAUGGAGCGAACGAUGUCGAAGGUCGGAAACGGGGUGCGAUGUCGGAUGACAUUAUGAAUGCCAUCAAAUUUAUCGUUCAAUCCAUUAAGACAAUGCAUGACAAGAGCCCGAUCAGAAACUGGUGCAUCAACAUUGGUGAGGAGAUCCGAAAGGGACUUCAGUUUACGGCAGUACUCGUGAACAGAGAGGUCUCCAAUGGUGAUGGUUCGUAGUUCGUUCUCCAACUGUAGUGCUCGGUUCUCCUUGUUGUCACGAAACUGGUUUUCCAAGGCAGUCCAGAGGUCACGAGCAGUAGCUUUCGGUUUGAGAAUGGUUUCGACGAGAGAGUCGGUGAUGGUGCCGUAAAUCCACAUCUUCACGAGACCGUCACGUUCUUUCCAGAUUUUUUCAGUGGUGGGUGUAGCGUUGGAGGUGCCAUCAAGGUGACCAAGAACGCCGAAGGUGAGACAAUGAGUCUCAAAAAGCUCCCUCCAUACAUCAUAGUUCAUUUUGUCCAUGUUGAGGACAAUUGUGAUGUAAGCACGAAUCUGACUUAUUCCAAACGGUUUGUCAGAAGCGUUAGUGGUGUUGGUAGAGUCAGCCAUGAGAGUUGCAGAGAGAGAAACUAGAGAGAGAAGAAAGAUAGAAGAAGAAGAAGAUCAAAAGAGAAGAGAGGAGAUGAGUAAGAAGAGCACGAUUAGGUGAGAGGAACUCUAGAUCGUCUGGCGGCUGAUACCAUAUUAGAGCAAUAGGGUUUGAUACCCUUUCCAUUGAUCACACGAAUAUAUAUAUAUAUGUACAUGAGAGAAGGGGAUGUAAAGAGUCCACACUAAACGUAUAAAGAUAUUUGUAUAUAUCCUAUCUAAUAUUAGGGAGGUCCUCACUCGAGCGUGAUGUUCAAAACACACGAUUCUAGCUUCCCAAAGAUAGUUUCACCUGAUGGUCCUUCCAUGGUGAUGCGCGCCAUGAACCUUCGAUGAGAAUGGUUGGAGCUUGGCUUGUUGGAUGGAUGAUUGAUGAAGACGUCCAUGUGAUGACCUCUCCUUGCUCCUCUUGAUAAUCCUUGGUAGUCUUUAGAUGCGUUGAAACCCGAGUUGUUGCCCUCGAGUUGGUCGCUUGGCGAUGACUUCGGCAGGAUCGAUGAUGGAUGCGACCAUACGAAUGUUGGAUCCAAAUGAUGCAACAAGGAAACAAAUUAAGACCAAACACAAAAACUAUUGUUUCUAGAAACGAAUAUGACAAUAUAAAGAAACUAAUUCUGCACACUUAACUUUCUUGAAGAGCACAUAUUCUAGCUGUUGUAGGGGCAGUUGGACCUGAAAAUAAAUAUUUGAAUUGAACUUACCUGGAUACGAUUUAGGCCCAAUAGAUGUUCAGAUAAAUCUUAUGUUACUCGUUGAUCUACUUCAGGAGUCUUGUUAGGUACUCGUUUGUUUGUUGGUUUCUUGAAGUAAAGGACUUCUUGUCUUUUGUGUAGCAUGAUCAGUCUAUUGAAGCUCUUCCAUGUCUUGAUCUUGAUCUUAAUCUUCACUCUCUUGAUCACUCUAGAAGGUAAAACUUGUUUCGCUCGUCUCUUGUAUCUUCAAUGUCUUACCUUGGCUUCUAAAAGGUUUUUGACCUGCCAAAGGAGAAUUCAUACCUUAGGAAAUAGUACGUUCAAGACUCAUUCGGAUAAAAGCUUUAGCAAGCUCUUCCUUCAGCAAUCCUGAUGAUUUCUCCUCGCCUAAAUCCAUCUUGAAAACCCUGUUCUAUCUAAGGUAAAUGUGCUAAAUCUAUGGGCGACAAAGGAUUAAUUCCAUAGACUAUAUCGAAUGUAGAUAGUUUUGUGGCCGAGUGAACGACACGAUUAUGCGUAAUCAAGUCAUGUAGCCAUAUACCUAUGAUACUAGGAUUUUUCUAUCAAUUACCCUAGAGUACUAUCAUGUCAUUGCAGUACAAUAGGUAUCAAUCCAAUCAGGUGUGAUGCUAGCAAUCAAGAUAUAUCAGAGAUGAUUAAGUCAAGCAAGCAUAAAUGAUUUUUGGUUUUCAGCGAUCUUAAGCGAACAUGUUAAACAUGCAAUAAAUGUAAAGCUAUAAACCAUAUACUACCAUGCAUAAACUAAAACAUAACGAUUAUUGAUACUGGCAAGAAAACAAAGCAGACCAAGUAAAUAACAAGAGAAUUAAACAGAAAGCACAAAUGGAUAGAAGAUCCCGAGGAUGAGGUUAUUGAUGUAGGUGGAGUAUGCUAAUCUAUUUUGAGUGUUUAUCAAACUGCAAACAUUCUAAUCCCUAGACAAUGAACUUCUAAUACUAGUCAAUCCAAUCUCUUGGCAGAAACUAUCAAAUUUACAACACUUCCUAAUCUCAAUUCUCAUUGAUGAAACAUGCAGUAAGCAUGCAUAAAGAAACAGCUCAUUAAUGUCAAUAAACAUCUUAGACAACCAAUCUCUUGGGCUAAGCAUGUAAAUCUCUGACACUAGUUGGUUCAGACAUUUCAUCAUAUACCUUUCGGGUAUGAAAUGUCUAUGACCUAGUUCCAAUUGAUUAGAGAAAAACUAGCUAAUAAAACUCUAGUCUAGAAGGGAAACAAAACGAAUCUAACAUAAACACUCUAGCAAACUAACAUCCUCCACCUAACCUAUCCCAUCCUCAAGAACCCUAACACUACUCAGACGCAGAAAUCAUGUUAAACAUAAUGAAACAAGAGUUUCUCAAAACAUGCAUAAUAAUAAAGAUGACAGGAAGAGUAACAACAAUGAUUCAAGAACUAACUGCAAAGUAUCAAUAACUCAAAAGAAAUCUCGAUUACAAUUCUCAGGAUCGUUUGGUGGCUAACAACAAAAACCUAAUAAAAAUAAAACUCCCUCCCUUGGGCAAUCCAAAUUAAGCCUAUUUAUAACAAUGUUUGGGAAAACCUUAAAACAUAAAACGACAAUGUAAAAGCGGUUCAAAGGUUGUUUUGACUAAGUUGGUCGAGUGAGCACCUCGAGUAACCAGCUUCUCUGCUUUGCUCGAUAGUGUCACUCGAGUGAUCGUGUCGAGUGACCUGUAAAACCAUCAGCUACUUCUUUGCUUUGCUUGAUCAUGUCACUCGAGUGAGUGCAUCGAGUGACAGGUAGUUCUGCUUCGCUUCCCUUCUGCUCGAUCUGCCACUCGAUCGUAUACGUCCGCUGCUCACUCGAUCGUCGAUGUAACUGCAACGCAUCCUUGCUUCUCACUCGAUCGUCCCACUCGAUCGUAUGCAUGUCGAGUAACGCUUGUUCCUCUGCUUCGNNNNNNNNNNNNNNNNNNNNNNNNNNNNNNNNNNNNNNNNNNNNNNNNNNNNNNNNNNNNNNNNNNNNNNNNNNNNNNNNNNNNNNNNNNNNNNNNNNNNNNNNAGGGAUCAAUAUGAAGCGAAUCAACAAGAGAAUGAUGUUGAAAACAUGAUGAAUGCAUGCUCAAAAAGCGAUGAAAUACAGACUUAUCAACUCCCCCAAACUUAGUCUUUGCUUGCCCUUAAGCAAAGCAAAAAGAAACAAAGUGGAAGAGAGGUUUGAAAAUGGGGUCUCAAAACCUGUAAC